AGUGAACGCUGGCGGUAGGCCUAACACAUGCAAGUCGAACGGCAGCACAGUAAGAGCUUGCUCUUACGGGUGGCGAGUGGCGGACGGGUGAGGAAUACAUCGGAAUCUACUUUUUCGUGGGGGAUAACGUAGGGAAACUUACGCUAAUACCGCAUACGACCUACGGUUGAAAGCAGUGGAUCUUCGGACCUUGCGCGAUUGAAUUAGCCGAUGUCGGAUUAGCUAGUUGGCGGGGUAAAGGCCCACCAAGGCGACGAUCCGUAGCUGGUCUGAGAGGAUGAUCAGCCACCCUGGAACUGAGACACGGUCCAGACUCCUACGGGAGGCAGCAGUGGGGAAUAUUGGACAAUGGGCGCAAGCAUGAUCCAGCCAUACCGCGUGGGUGAAGAAGGCCUUCGGGUUGUAAAGCCCUUUUGUUGGGAAAGAAAAGCAGCAGGUUAAUACCCCGCUGUUCUGACGGUACCCAAAGAAUAAGCACCGGCUAACUUCGUG
This 492-nucleotide ribosomal RNA is filed under the name uncultured bacterium. RNAcentral describes it as "partial 16S ribosomal RNA". It matches the Rfam family "Bacterial small subunit ribosomal RNA", at positions 29 to 507 of the family's 1533-position model. The record is from RNAcentral.